AUGGUCACAUGCUGCAUGCGUGCUCUGUACGUUUUAGACCUUUACUUGUACUGGUACGAGCAGCAGGACCCAACAUCCAUCCAUCUUGAAGCAAAAGGAAGCGGAAAUGACGAUAGUCCUGGAUGCCAUCGCAUCCUACUUGCAAAACAUGCUCAUGGAGAUGGUGACAGUGAAGAGGUGCACAUGCUGCUUGGAGUCACGAACGAGAUCAAGAAGAUGGACGUCAAGCUUAAGGACCUCAAGAACUUCCUCGCCGACGCUGACCAGAGAGACAUCACCGACGAGAGUGUGCAAGAGUGGGUGGCCCAGCUCAAGUGUGCCAUGUACAAAGCUACAGAUAUCCUUGACCUCUGUCAGCUCAAGGCCAUGGAGCACGGUCCAUCCACUGCAGAUGUGGGGUGCUUCAAUCCCUUGCUCUUCUGCAUGCGGAAUCCCUCCCAUGCCCAUGACAUCAGCACCCGCAUCAAGGCGCUCAACCAGAAUCUUGAUGCCAUCAAGGAGCGAAGCUCUGCUUUGAGCUUCAUACCACUUGGUUCCUCUGAAGAUCAUAGCAGCAAGAUCCAUGGCUCUCAUUCCGGUGAUACCAGGCGUGAGACGUCAGGGGAGUUUGAUUGGUCGGGUUUAGUCGGAGAGAAGAUCGAACAAGAUACAAAAAAGCUGGUUGAGACCAUGCUAACUGAAAAGGAGGGCAACACCAACAUCAUGGUGGUCGAUCACCAUUGUUGGUGUCGGCGGAAUUGGCAAGACCACUCUUGCGCAAAAGGUCUUCAAUGA
Molecule: ribosomal RNA, 774 nt
Filed under: Triticum aestivum (bread wheat)
Lineage: Eukaryota; Viridiplantae; Streptophyta; Magnoliopsida; Poales; Poaceae
Description: partial small subunit ribosomal RNA
Source: RNAcentral